ACCUGGCUGGGUCAGUAGGUAGAGCAUGUGACUCUUGAUCUCAGGGUUGUGAGUUCAAGUCCCACAUUGGGUG
Non-coding RNA from Ailuropoda melanoleuca (giant panda), 73 nucleotides. Lineage: Eukaryota; Metazoa; Chordata; Mammalia; Carnivora; Ursidae. The record is from Rfam.